UCCACCGCAACCAGAGGCAGACUCACUCCUCUCCUCUCCAUCUGGAUCUCCAUCUUCAUCUCUGAGCUCGUUCUUGUCUUCUCCAUCAUUGUGUAGAACUUCAUCUCCUUUUCAGCUUUAAAACCGACAGCCAGUAAAAUUAGGUCAAACAAAUUAUAAGGAGAUUCAAACAAAUUUCAGAUAUGCGGAUGAACCGAGGAUGUUAUGGAAAAAGAAGAGGACGAGGUUGAAGUAACAGUGAAGAUGCUGCUGCUGAGGAUGUGGUUGUAGAAGGUAUCAUCCUGAUAAAAAUGCCAAUAAUCCUGAAGCUUCAGAACUUUUCAAGGAGGUUGCAUAUUCUUAUAGCAUAUUUUCUGAUCCAGAGAAAAUAAGGCAAUAUGGUACUGCAGGAUUCGGGGUUGACAAGCAAUGCGCCCACUUUUUUGGCGUGACACGGUGAGCAGCAGACACAGGUUGGAAUUGUUGUUAGGGCUACUUCAACAGCGGAAAGCAAGUUUAAGGUUAAUUGAAUGAUGCUCUGUUGUGAGAUCAGAAAGGUUGGAGAACAAAGCAGCCAUUAGGUCCCUUAGCAGCUGCAAGAUUUGUAAGUUUCUAUAUAGUAUCUCGUUAUAGUGAUUUAAGUUGGAUGAACUAGGAAUUUCGUAAGUUUCUAUGAACUGAACUUCGGAACUUAGUAAGUUUGUAUGUGUACACUAGUUUACAGUGAUACUUGUAUACAUUUGUAUCAAAUACUCGUAGUAUUUGUUAACUUCAAUUGAAUGAAUCUUUUUUUCAUGAUA
Papaver somniferum (opium poppy) is the source of this 779-nucleotide long non-coding RNA. RefSeq lists it as uncharacterized. The transcript has 7 exons. The record is from RefSeq and is a predicted model, not a curated record. Lineage: Eukaryota; Viridiplantae; Streptophyta; Magnoliopsida; Ranunculales; Papaveraceae.